AUUGAACGCUGGCGGCAUGCCUUACACAUGCAAGUCGAACGGUAACAGGGUGCUUGCACCGCUGACGAGUGGCGAACGGGUGAGUAAUGCGUCGGAACGUGCCGAGUAGUGGGGGAUAACGCAGCGAAAGUUGUGCUAAUACCGCAUACGUACUGAGGUAGAAAGUGGGGGACCUUCGGGCCUCACGCUAUUCGAGCGGCCGACGUCUGAUUAGCUAGUAGGUGAGGUAAAGGCUCACCUAGGCGACGAUCAGUAGCGGGUCUGAGAGGAUGAUCCGCCACAGGGGGAGUGGGACACGGCCCAGACGCCUACGGGAGUAAGCAGUGGGGAAUUUUGGGCAAUGGGCGAAAGCAUGAUCCAGCCAUGCCGCGUGUCUGAAGAAGGCCUUCGGGUUGUAAAGGACUUUUGUCAGGGAGGAAAUCCCUAGUGCUAAUAACACUGGGGGAUGACAGUACCUGAAGAAUAAGCACCGGCUAACUACGUGCCAGCCGCCGCCGUAA
Molecule: ribosomal RNA, 500 nt
Filed under: uncultured bacterium
Lineage: Bacteria
Description: partial 16S ribosomal RNA
Rfam family: Bacterial small subunit ribosomal RNA
Source: RNAcentral